Molecule: ribosomal RNA, 494 nt
Filed under: uncultured bacterium
Lineage: Bacteria
Description: partial 16S ribosomal RNA
Rfam family: Bacterial small subunit ribosomal RNA
Source: RNAcentral
GAUGAACGCUGGCGGCGUGCCUAAUACAUGCAAGUCGAGCGAACAGACGAGGAGCUUGCUCCUCUGACGUUAGCGGCGGACGGGUGAGUAACACGUGGAUAACCUACCUAUAAGACUGGGAUAACUUCGGGAAACCGGAGCUAAUACCGGAUAAUAUAUUGAACCGCAUGGUUCAAUAGUGAAAGACGGUUUUGCUGUCACUUAUAGAUGGAUCCGCGCCGCAUUAGCUAGUUGGUAAGGUAACGGCUUACCAAGGCAACGAUGCGUAGCCGACCUGAGAGGGUGAUCGGCCACACUGGAACUGAGACACGGUCCAGACUCCGACGGGAGGCAGCAGGAGGGCAUCUUCCGCAAUGGGCGAAAGCCUGACGGAGCAACGCCGCGUGAGUGAUGAAGGUCUGCUGAUCGUAAACCUCUGUUAUGAGGGAAGAACAAAUGUGUAAGUAACUAUGCACGUCUUGACGGUACCUAAUCAGAAAACCACGGAUAACUAC